AUUGAACGCUGGCGGCAGGCCUAACACAUGCAAGUCGAGCGGAUGAAGGGAGCUUGCUCCUGGAUUCAGCGGCGGACGGGUGAGUAAUGCCUAGGAAUCUGCCUGGUAGUGGGGGAUAACGUCCGGAAACGGGCGCUAAUACCGCAUACGUCCUGAGGGAGAAAGAGGGGGAUCUUCGGACCUCACGCUAUCAGAUGAGCCUAGGUCGGAUUAGCUAGUUGGUGGGGUAAAGGCCUACCAAGGCGACGAUCCGUAACUGGUCUGAGAGGAUGAUCAGUCAAACUGGAACGGAGACACGGUCCAGACUCCUACGGGAGGCAGCAGUGGGGAAUAUUCGACAAUGGGCGAAAGCCUGAUCCAGCAAGGCCGCGUGUGUGAAGAAGGUCUUCGGAUGGUAAAGCACUUUAAGUGGGGAGGAAGGGCAGUAAGUUAAUACCUUGCUGUUUUGACGUUACCAACAGAAUAAGCACCGGCUAACUUCGUG
Molecule: ribosomal RNA, 484 nt
Filed under: uncultured bacterium
Lineage: Bacteria
Description: partial 16S ribosomal RNA
Rfam family: Bacterial small subunit ribosomal RNA
Source: RNAcentral